UACGUAGGUGGCAAGCGUUAUCCGGAAUUACUGGGCGUAAAGCGCACGCAGGCGGUCUGUUAAGUUUGACGUGGAAGCUCCCGGCUUAACUGGGAGAGGUCGUUGAAGACUGGCAGACUUGAGGCGAUGAGAGGGGUGUAGAAUUCCCGGUGUAGUGGUGGAAUGCGUAGAUAUCGGGGGGAAUACCAGUGGCGAAAGCGGCACCCUAGCGUUAGCCUGACGCUCAUGUGCGAAAGCGUGGGGAGCGAACGGG
This 253-nucleotide ribosomal RNA is filed under the name uncultured bacterium. RNAcentral describes it as "partial 16S ribosomal RNA". It matches the Rfam family "Bacterial small subunit ribosomal RNA", at positions 524 to 776 of the family's 1533-position model. The record is from RNAcentral.